UACGUAGGGGGCAAGCGUUGUCCGGAAUCAUUGGGCGUAAAGCGCGUGUAGGCGGCCCGGUAAGUCCGCUGUGAAGGUCCAGGGCUCAACCCUGGAAUGCCGGUGGAUACUGUCGGGCUCGAGUCCGGAAGAGGCGAGUGGAAUUCCUGGUGUAGCGGUGAAAUGCGCAGAUAUCAGGAGGAACACCGAUGGCGAAGGCAGCUCGCUGGGACGGUACUGACGCUGAGACGCGAAAGCGUGGGGAGCAAACAGG
RNAcentral lists this ribosomal RNA (253 nucleotides) under uncultured bacterium. RNAcentral describes it as "partial 16S ribosomal RNA". It matches the Rfam family "Bacterial small subunit ribosomal RNA", at positions 524 to 776 of the family's 1533-position model. The record is from RNAcentral.